RNAcentral lists this ribosomal RNA (839 nucleotides) under Brevundimonas sp. AKB-2008-JO46. RNAcentral describes it as "bacterial SSU rRNA". It matches the Rfam family "Bacterial small subunit ribosomal RNA", at positions 8 to 894 of the family's 1533-position model. Lineage: Bacteria; Pseudomonadati; Pseudomonadota; Alphaproteobacteria; Caulobacterales; Caulobacteraceae. The record is from RNAcentral.
AGAGUUUGAUCCUGGCUCAGAGCGAACGCUGGCGGCAGGCCUAACACAUGCAAGUCGAACGGACCCUUCGGGGUUAGUGGCGGACGGGUGAGUAACACGUGGGAACGUGCCUUUUGGUUCGGAAUAGCUCCUGGAAACGGGUGGUAAUGCCGAAUGUGCCCUUCGGGGGAAAGAUUUAUCGCCAUUAGAGCGGCCCGCGUCUGAUUAGCUAGUUGGUGAGGUAAAGGCUCACCAAGGCUACGAUCAGUAGCUGGUCUGAGAGGAUGACCAGCCACAUUGGGACUGAGACACGGCCCAAACUCCUACGGGAGGCAGCAGUGGGGAAUCUUGCGCAAUGGGCGAAAGCCUGACGCAGCCAUGCCGCGUGAAUGAUGAAGGUCUUAGGAUUGUAAAAUUCUUUCACCGGGGACGAUAAUGACGGUACCCGGAGAAGAAGCCCCGGCUAACUUCGUGCCAGCAGCCGCGGUAAUACGAAGGGGGCUAGCGUUGCUCGGAAUUACUGGGCGUAAAGGGAGCGUAGGCGGACAUUUAAGUCAGGGGUGAAAUCCCAGAGCUCAACUCUGGAACUGCCUUUGAUACUGGAUGUCUUGAGUGUGAGAGAGGUAUGUGGAACUCCGAGUGUAGAGGUGAAAUUCGUAGAUAUUCGGAAGAACACCAGUGGCGAAGGCGACAUACUGGCUCAUUACUGACGCUGAGGCUCGAAAGCGUGGGGAGCAAACAGGAUUAGAUACCCUGGUAGUCCACGCCGUAAACGAUGAUUGCUAGUUGUCGGGAUGUUUACAUCUCGGUGACGCAGCUAACGCAUUAAGCAAUCCGCCUGGGGAGUACGGUCGCAAGAU